CUUUCUCGUUUCCUUCUCU
RNAcentral lists this microRNA (19 nucleotides) under Corchorus olitorius. RNAcentral describes it as "mmu-miR-698-". The record is from RNAcentral. Lineage: Eukaryota; Viridiplantae; Streptophyta; Magnoliopsida; Malvales; Malvaceae.